This 841-nucleotide long non-coding RNA is filed under the name Vulpes vulpes (red fox). Its description in RNAcentral is "lncRNA (ENSVVUG00000006708.1)". The record is from RNAcentral. Lineage: Eukaryota; Metazoa; Chordata; Mammalia; Carnivora; Canidae.
AUUUUGCACAAAGGAAAAAUGACCCCAGAGGAUUUGCUAUAUAGCUGCCAAAGGUCAUCUGACAUAAUAGCUGAUGAAUUCAAGCCCAGUGGAUUUCAUUUGCAAUUUUCAAUUUACUGAGGCCUCCAAACCCCACGGUGAUAAAAGCUUCCCCUAUCGUGGCCUGUCACAAACAUCAAGAAACUGCACAAACCCACAAGAAAGAAAAAAGAGAAAGCUGUGCAUCCUCGCAGGUACAGAUAAGGAGAACAGGAAGAAAUGGUAUCAUGCAGAAAGAUUUUGCCAUUGGAAUCUCAGUUCUCUUCAUGCAAUUAAUGGACAUUGAUGUGUCAUACACAGAAGCGUACUCAGUGCCAUUUAAGGAGGCUGAUUUUAAAGAGGUGGCUUACAUAUAUGCACAUUAGGAGAUGAACAUUUCUUCUUCAUAGCAUAGAAGCUGAUGACUUUACUCUUGUUGCACAAAGACUCCUAUUCAUACAUGGAAUGUAUCCUUGGGCUGCAAAGCCAAAAAUCACGUUUCUAUAGCAAAGAUGUGCACUGAAAUAGAGUUACUUCAUAUCAUCUGAAAAAGGAUUCCAAAAUGACUUGAAGAGGCUAGCAAAAUACCCAGAAUCAAUAAGCUAAAUUCUCUGCUUCAAGAGGUGAGUUACGAUGAAUGAGAAAUGGUGAUUGCUUAGGUGGGAACCUAAAAGUCUUUACCAAUGUGUCAUGUGGCUCAACCAGUCAGAAUUAAACAUUCUUAAGACAGAAUUUUAUAAAGCAUAGUACUUCUCUCUUUUUUCCCCCCUCUCCUUAAGCCAGGUAGCAUUCACACAGAUAUAUAUAUGUAUAUAUAUAUUCC